UGGGGAAUAUUGCACAAUGGGCGCAAGCCUGAUGCAGCCAUGCCGCGUGUAUGAAGAAGGCCUUCGGGUUGUAAAGUACUUUCAGCGGAGAGGAAGGGAGUAAAGUUAAUACCUUUGCUCAUUGACGUUACCCGCAGAAGAAGCACCGGCUAACUCCGUGCCAGCAGCCGCGGUAAUACGGAGGGUGCAAGCGUUAAUCGGAAUUACUGGGCGUAAAGCGCACGCAGGCGGUUUGUUAAGUCAGAUGUGAAAUCCCCGGGCUCAACCUGGGAACUGCAGCUGAUACUGGCAAGCUUGAGUCUCGUAGAGGGGGGUAGAAUUCCAGGUGUAGCGGUGAAAUGCGUAGAGAUCUGGAGGAAUACCGGUGGCGAAGGCGGCCCCCUGGACGAAGACUGACGCUCAGGUGCGAAAGCGUGGGGAGCAAACAGG
This 429-nucleotide ribosomal RNA is filed under the name Chloroflexota bacterium. Its description in RNAcentral is "Chloroflexi bacterium partial 16S ribosomal RNA". It matches the Rfam family "Bacterial small subunit ribosomal RNA", at positions 355 to 776 of the family's 1533-position model. Lineage: Bacteria; Bacillati; Chloroflexota. The record is from RNAcentral.